UCCGCCGGACCCGACUGCUAUCCGGGUAGGACUAAGCCAUGCAAGUUGAAUGGAAUACCUAAAUUUUCCAUGGCGUACCACUCAGUAACACGUGAUCAACUUACCCUAAAGCGGUGUAUAACCUCGGGAAACUGAGGAUAAUGCACCAUAUUUGAAAAUGCCUGGAAUGGUUUUUCAAUGAAAGAGUAAUCUGAAUGGAGAUUAUAUCACCUUAGGAUAGGAUCGCGCCCGAUUAUGGCUGUUGGUGAGGUAACGGCUCACCAAACCUAUUAUCGGUAAGGGCCGUGAGAGCGGUAGCCCUGAGUUGGGUACUGAGACAAUGACCCAGGUCUUACGAGACGCAGCAGGCGCGAAAUCUUGACAAUACACGAAAGUGUGAUCAGGUUACCCGGAGUGCUACAAAGUAGCUGUGGCAAGUGAGUUUAAUUCCUUGCUAGGAAGGAGAGGGCAAGGCUGGUGCCAGCCGCCGCGGUAAAACCAGCUCUUCAAGUGGUCGGGACUAUUAUUGGGCUUAAAGUGUCCGUAGCCGGUAUAGUAAGUUCCUGGUUAAAUCGGAUAGCUUAACUAUCUGUUGGCUAGGUAUACUGCUAUACUAAGGGGCGGGAGAGGUCUGAGGUACUCCAGGGGUAGGGGUGAAAUCCUAUAAUCCUUGGGGGACCACCAGUGGCGAAGGCGUCAGACUGGAACGCGCUCGACGGUGAGGGACGAAAGCCAGGGGAGCGAACCGGAUUAGAUACCCGGGUAGUCCUGGCUGUAAACGAUGCGUGCUAGGUGUUGGUAUGGCCUUGAGCCGUAUCAGUGCCGUAGGGAAACCGAUAA
This 819-nucleotide ribosomal RNA is filed under the name uncultured archaeon. Its description in RNAcentral is "bacterial SSU rRNA". It matches the Rfam family "Archaeal small subunit ribosomal RNA", at positions 13 to 818 of the family's 1478-position model. The record is from RNAcentral.